UUAUCUUGGCAGAAUAGUGCAAUAAAUUUAGAAUUUAUUUAAAUAAUUUUAAUUAUAGAUAAUAA
Molecule: transfer RNA, 65 nt
Filed under: Anisolabididae sp. NS-2016
Lineage: Eukaryota; Metazoa; Arthropoda; Insecta; Dermaptera; Anisolabididae
Description: tRNA-Leu
Source: RNAcentral